AUUGAACGCUGGCGGCAUGCCUUACACAUGCAAGUCGAACGGUAACAGGUUAAGCUGACGAGUGGCGAACGGGUGAGUAAUAUAUCGGAACGUGCCCAGUCGUGGGGGAUAACGUAGCGAAAGCUACGCUAAUACCGCAUACGAUCUACGGAUGAAAGCGGGGGAUCGCAAGACCUCGCGCGAUUGGAGCGGCCGAUAUCAGAUUAGGUUGUUGGUGAGGUAAAAGCUCACCAAGCCUGCGAUCUGUAGCUGGUCUGAGAGGACGACCAGCAACACUGGAACUGAGACACGGUCCAGACUCCUACGGGAGGCAGCAGUGGGGAAUUUUGGACAAUGGACGCAAGUCUGAUCCAGCAAUACCGCGUGCAGGACGAAGGCCUUCGGGUUGUAAACUGCCUUUGUACGGAACGAAACGGUGAGCUCUAAUACAGUUUGCUAAUGACGGUACCGUAAGAAUAAGCACCGGCUAACUACGUGCCAGCAGCCGCCGUAA
RNAcentral lists this ribosomal RNA (493 nucleotides) under uncultured bacterium. Its description in RNAcentral is "partial 16S ribosomal RNA". It matches the Rfam family "Bacterial small subunit ribosomal RNA", at positions 30 to 523 of the family's 1533-position model. The record is from RNAcentral.